UGAGUAAACUGGAUGGUCGCGGGAGAAGAAUCUCUCCUGAGGAAAGUCCGAGCUCCACAGGGCAGGGUGCUGGGUAACACCCAGUGGGGGCGACCCCAAGGAAAGUGCCACAGAAACAGACCGCCCGGCCUUAUAGGGGCGCGGAGGAUAGUCCUGCCAAGGCAGGCGAAGGCUCCGGCCCUACAUUACGCCGGGCAAGGGUGGAAAGGUGAGGUAAGAGCUCACCAGCGGUUAGGUGACUAACCGGCUAGGUAAACCCCACCCGGAGCAAGACCGAAUAGGGGGACAAUGGAGUGGCCCGCUCCGUCCCCGGGUAAGGUCGCUGGAGGUACUAGGCAACUGGUACCCUAGAUAGAUGACCAUCCUCGACAGAACUCGGCUUACAGGUUUGCUCAAGGG
Molecule: non-coding RNA, 399 nt
Organism: Thermanaeromonas toyohensis ToBE
Lineage: Bacteria; Bacillati; Bacillota; Clostridia; Neomoorellales; Neomoorellaceae
Rfam family: Bacterial RNase P class A
About the family: Ribonuclease P (RNase P) is a ubiquitous endoribonuclease, found in archaea, bacteria and eukarya as well as chloroplasts and mitochondria. Its best characterised activity is the generation of mature 5'-ends of tRNAs by cleaving the 5'-leader elements of precursor-tRNAs.
Source: Rfam